Tachyglossus aculeatus (Australian echidna) is the source of this 822-nucleotide long non-coding RNA. RefSeq lists it as uncharacterized. NCBI's taxonomy places the organism in Eukaryota, Metazoa, Chordata, Mammalia, Monotremata, Tachyglossidae. The transcript is spliced from 4 exons. The record is from RefSeq and is a predicted model, not a curated record.
CCUUGCUCCCAGGCCCGGGCUUUUCAUCAAGUCUGGCCUCUGACAGGCUAUAGAAGCCGUCCGCCAGAGGUGUCACACCAGAUGCCACCAGAAAGGUCAUUUUCUUCCGGAUUUGAAAUAAGGACCUGGAUUCGACCUCCGACCCCAACAUGAGGAGGGAUUCACGAUCCUCUAUUUGGGAAAAGUCUGAGCAAGUGAUGGAAAGUUCCCAACGAUCUGUAACAUCUGGAUCUGAGAGAAAAUGUGCUCCAGAGAGUAGAAAACAAGCAAGAUGAGACAGCAGUGGGAGAGAGGAAGAGGAGUAAAGCCUGGAUAAAGCAGAAGAGACGGCUUCCUCCCGGAGUAGCGUCAGAGCGGAGGGAACCACCUUCUUUCCAUUGACGUCCGGGGGGAUUUUCAGCUGGAGAGACCAGCCCAGAAACAGCACUCCACAUUUCUACCGGUCGACAGGUCACAGAAAGGGGAUAUCUGGCCAAUGUUCCCACUGUGUCCAAUGAGAAAUCCAUCUCCCUCCCGGUCCAUAUUCAAUUUCCCACACUGCCAUGAAAAUAAGCCUGGAUUUCAGAGCCACAUAGAACGGGAUGACAUUGCCUACAGACACUUUGAAGAACUUCCCUUUCAUUAGUCAUUCUAUAAUCACAUUAACUUAGAUGGAAAAUCUGAACUGAUUUUUCCCCCAGAGGCCCGGGGCGGAAUAAUUGUAAAAAUCUGUGAAAUCGGAUAAAUACAAUUCAAUAAUUAUAUUGAUAAAUAAAAUGAAAAUCAACUAAUUGUGUCAUUCACUCAGAAGCUCGCCUCUGCUAUUGCCAGCUUUCUGCUUCA